UAGUGGGGGACAACAUUUCGAAAGGAAUGCUAAUACCGCAUACGUCCUACGGGAGAAAGCAGGGGAUCUUCGGACCUUGCGCUAAUAGAUGAGCCUAAGUCGGAUUAGCUAGUUGGUGGGGUAAAGGCCUACCAAGGCGACGAUCUGUAGCGGGUCUGAGAGGAUGAUCCGCCACACUGGGACUGAGACACGGCCCAGACUCCUACGGGAGGCAGCAGUGGGGAAUAUUGGACAAUGGGCGCAAGCCUGAUCCAGCCAUGCCGCGUGUGUGAAGAAGGCCUUAUGGUUGUAAAGCACUUUAAGCGAGGAGGAGGCUACUUUAGUUAAUACCUAGAGAUAGUGGACGUUACUCGCAGAAUAAGCACCGGCUAACUCUGUGCCAGCAGCCGCGGUAAUACAGAGGGUGCAAGCGUUAAUCGGAUUUACUGGGCGUAAAGCGCGCGUAGGCGGCUAAUUAAGUCAAAUGUGAAAUCCCCGAGCUUAACUUGGGAAUUGCAUUCGAUACUGGUUAGCUAGAGUGUGGGAGAGGAUGGUAGAAUUCCAGGUGUAGCGGUGAAAUGCGUAGAGAUCUGGAGGAAUACCGAUGGCGAAGGCAGCCAUCUGGCCUAACACUGACGCUGAGGUGCGAAAGCAUGGGGAGCAAACAGGAUUAGAUACCCUGGUAGUCCAUGCCGUAAACGAUGUCUACUAGCCGUUGGGGCCUUUGAGGCUUUAGUGGCGCAGCUAACGCGAUAAGUAGACCGCCUGGGGAGUACGGUCGCAAGACUAAAACUCAAAUGAAUUGACGGGGGCCCGCACAAGCGGUGGAGCAUGUGGUUUAAUUCGAUGCAACGCGAAGAACCUUACCUGGCCUUGACAUAGUAAGAACUUUCCAGAGAUGGAUUGGUGCCUUCGGGAACUUACAUACAGGUGCUGCAUGGCUGUCGUCAGCUCGUGUCGUGAGAUGUUGGGUUAAGUCCCGCAACGAGCGCAACCCUUUUCCUUAUUUGCCAGCGAGUAAUGUCGGGAACUUUAAGGAUACUGCCAGUGACAAACUGGAGGAAGGCGGGGACGACGUCAAGUCAUCAUGGCCCUUACGGCCAGGGCUACACACGUGCUACAAUGGUCGGUACAAAGGGUUGCUACCUAGCGAUAGGAUGCUAAUCUCAAAAAG
This 1153-nucleotide ribosomal RNA is filed under the name Acinetobacter sp. 12B. RNAcentral's name for it is "bacterial SSU rRNA". It matches the Rfam family "Bacterial small subunit ribosomal RNA", at positions 134 to 1281 of the family's 1533-position model. The record is from RNAcentral. Lineage: Bacteria; Pseudomonadati; Pseudomonadota; Gammaproteobacteria; Moraxellales; Moraxellaceae.